UCACAGACUGGAGGGUGACAGUGACCAGAGCAAGUUUAACCUUUUAAAGAGGAAGGAUCUGUUGCUUGGCUACCAGGCCUGCGUAGGGUAAUGAGUGGAAAUGGGGAACAGAAGUGGAGAAAGAAGAGAGACCUAGAAGCGGGGUGGUGGGGAAAGGGCAGGAACCCCUCGUGGGCUGGAGCCUGCAGAGGGAGGGAGAAUGUGAGCAGCUUCCAGAAGGUGUGGGGCUUUGAGGAAAGGGGACGGAGAGCAUCUGAAGGAAGCUUGGGUGUGAUCGGGCCACGGUCUCCAGAAGACUCAGGAAGGCUACUCAGAGAAGGGUCCCCCCAAGGGAUGUGGGACGGUUGGCCUAACCCUGUGGCAGACGGCUCUGCUUCUCUUCAUGGCCUAUGGAUUUGGAAAGCUCCUGAGUGCAAUGAGGAGUACCUCAUCUAGCAGCCAAGACCUAUUCCCUGCCCCAGUGCCCCAGUACCCCAGAAACAGGCCAAGCCCCAGACUCUCCUGGCAUAAAUACCGGCUCCCGUCCAACCUCACGCCAUCAGGUAUGGGAGAUGCUGGGACCAGCAGCUAGCAGAGGGAAAAUGACAUAUCCUAGGAUUCAAUCCAAUCAGGAUUCCAUCCCAAGGACCAAGGUAGAAUAGAACAGCAGCCGUUCUUUCUGGGAGAUGAACCCUGCAAAUUAAGCUGCCUGGCAGGCUUGGCAGCCUGUAGGUGUGACGGGUGAGGCCUCAGCCCACUCUUUCCCCAGCCCUUGAAUUCCAUUUGUCCAGGCCUCCAGGCUGUACAGCACCCCUGCCAUGUGCACAUAAGACAGCAGGGAAGCUGACAGGCGACCACUAUCCUCCCACUCCCCAUCAGCUGCUAGGUGAGUGGGGAACAAAGAAACAGAAAGUCAUGGGAACCACCCUCCCUUGCCAAGCAACAAAUGCGCUAAGAUGCUGAGCCAGGGGAGGGGGGAUUGGGCCUGGGAGCAGCUGGUAUGAUUGGUCUCACCUGCCCAGCAGGCAGAAAAUGCCUGCAUUCUUGGUUGGGUAAUUGAACUGCCUCUCUUUCUGGAGGUGAGUGUGGGGCAGAGCAUCUCUGAGCACAGGCCUCCACUGCCUGUAGUUCCCUCCCUCCUAGGUAUGGGUCCUGGGGAGGUUAUACUUGGG
This 1151-nucleotide long non-coding RNA is filed under the name Macaca mulatta (Rhesus monkey). Its description in RNAcentral is "lncRNA (ENSMMUG00000060784.1)". The record is from RNAcentral. Lineage: Eukaryota; Metazoa; Chordata; Mammalia; Primates; Cercopithecidae.